RNAcentral lists this small RNA (254 nucleotides) under Arabidopsis thaliana (thale cress). Its description in RNAcentral is "ATSL270310". The record is from RNAcentral. Lineage: Eukaryota; Viridiplantae; Streptophyta; Magnoliopsida; Brassicales; Brassicaceae.
UGAAGUCGAAUAUGACUUGAUGUGAUGUGUAUGAUUGAGUAUAAAAACUUAAACCGCAACCGGAUCUUAAAAGCCUAAAUAGUGUUUCCAUGUUAGAAAAUACAAAGCCAAAGCCUCAUACGGACUUUAGCUACACCGUUUAAGCUUUGAGAAGCAAGAAGAAGCUUGGUUAGUGUUUUGGAGUGAAAUAUGACUAGAUGUCAUGUGUAUGAGUGAGUAUAACAGCUAGAACCACAACUGAAUUUUAAAAGCCU